GUUAGCCUGCAUGUCUAAGUAUAAGCAAUUAUUCCGGGAAACUGGGAAAGGGUCAAUUUAUACGGUAUUGGUUAUUUGGUAGGGCCUUACUACCUGGAUUACCGGGGGUAUUCUAGAUCUAAUACGUGCUUAAAAUCCCGGCUUGUGAAUGGGGGUAUUUAUUUCAUUAAAAACCAAUGCCCUUUGGGGUUCUCUGGGGAUUCAUGAUAACUUCUCCAAUCGGAUGGGCUUAUGCCCGCGAUUGGGCAUCCAAAAAUCUUCCUAUCUACUUUAUACGUGUGGGGAUUGGGCCCCAGGGCUGCAACGGGUUACCGUAGGAAUUUGGGUUGACCCCCCCCAAGGAACCCCUGAAACACCCUACUUCCAUCCAACCAAAGGCGGCGGAAGCCCCAACUAACCCCCCACUCCCCAGUGGGGGAGGUGGCAGCAAUAAAUACUCAUAGGGGGUUUUU
Molecule: ribosomal RNA, 452 nt
Filed under: Nectria sp. RF5
Lineage: Eukaryota; Fungi; Ascomycota; Sordariomycetes; Hypocreales; Nectriaceae
Description: partial 18S ribosomal RNA
Rfam family: Eukaryotic small subunit ribosomal RNA
Source: RNAcentral